AGUAUAAGUUUUCACGUAGUGGACAGCUCAAUCAUAGGUCUUAUAGUUAACGUAUCAAACGUAUUAUAAACUAAUUCAGCUUCAAAAUAAUGUUAAACAAAUGGAGUAAACGAGAUAUAUGUCAAGAAUGUAUUAAUACUUUAGACAUUCGCGUAUCACAUUUCAAAGUAAUUAGUUAUUACUGAAAGAUUCAGAAGUACUCGUCGGAAAGUGUAUCGUGUUCUUGCCACCUGACAAAGACGUACAAAACGAGUAGAAUGAUCUUAAUAUCUAUACAGAUAUAUGUAAAAAUGACAUAAUAAUGUCUUAUGUAUUCAACACGGUCGACAAAUCUGGUAUCGUUCCUUUAUUGAGGACAUGCAAUUCCAUCAAGUUUUUUUUUGGUUUGUCGGGUUUUUUUGGGUUUUUUAUUUGUUUUUUGUUUUUUUUUUGUGGGGGGGGUAUUUCCUACCUGGAUUUGUCUCCUUUUUUUCGAUAUACGAGAUUUGAACAUCAGUACCCUACCUUGAUCAUUGAUGUUCCGGGUAAAUGUCAUUUGAAUAAAUGAAGAUGGCAAGAAAACAUAAAAUUCCCUGCAAUUCUCUGUUGAUUAAUUUAGAAAUUAUCAAAUAUAAAGGUUUUAACUAGGCUUAGUUGACUACAGAUAAUUUUUUUCAAAUCAUUUUAUGUCACUUUUGGUCAUAUAGCUCCUAACGUUUUCAGAUAUUCAUUCAUCUGUAGACCAAUUAAUUGCUUUGGAGUGAUUGUGAGGGACGUUCAGACACCUGUAAUUCAUAUUUUUUCAAAACAAAAACAAGAAUAUGU
This 804-nucleotide long non-coding RNA is filed under the name Mytilus galloprovincialis (Mediterranean mussel). Lineage: Eukaryota; Metazoa; Mollusca; Bivalvia; Mytilida; Mytilidae. The record is from RNAcentral.